This 1713-nucleotide long non-coding RNA is filed under the name Pan troglodytes (chimpanzee). Its description in RNAcentral is "long non-coding RNA NONPTRT004112". The record is from RNAcentral. Lineage: Eukaryota; Metazoa; Chordata; Mammalia; Primates; Hominidae.
GGGAGGAGGUGGGACUACAGGGAAAAUUUCCCUGAGGAACAUUCUAGGGACAAGAAAGAUGCUCUCCCAGGAGCCAGCAUCGUGAUCACAACAUAUGCAGUUUUCCUGUGGCUGAUGACCCAGCAGUGGUGGUGUGGAGGGGCCCCUCAUGCUCCACUCUGCUUUUCUCUCUUGCUUAUUCUGAAGAAACUAGCUGCCUUGUUCUGAGUUACUCUGUGGAGAGACCCACAUAUUAAGGAACUGAGAGCAUGACCACUGGCCAACAGCCCUGGAGUGAUUGAAUGUUUCCAAAAACCACUCACAUGAGCUUGGAAGAGGAUCAUUCCCCGUUCAAACCUUCAGCUGAGACUGCAGCCCUGCCGAUACCUUGAUUGCAACCUGGUGGGAUGCUUCUAAGACACCUCCAUUCCAGUUUCUGCACAUCUGCUUGACUCAUGGGAAGCUCAUGCAUCCUUGGCACCUGGAUCAGGGUCUCAAUCAGAUGCCAGUCUCCCCAGACUUCAGGGAAUUCACAGCAAACUAGAGAUAUUUCCUGUAAGUUCCUCUCACCAGGCAAGGCUGUGGUCAGGAGUCAUUGCCUCUCUCCUCUUCCAAGGGGACUGAGACUAACUUCAUACUGGACUACUUUCUCCAGAAAAAUCCUCUCCCCAGUUUCCAACUUCAGCCUUUUCAGAGAUGGCCGUUGGACCAAGAGUCAGAAAACUAUUUCCAUUUAGACCCUUUGCAAGGUUGGAAAUGUCAGGUAUUUGAACAUUUCAUUUUGUUUUUGGCCCAUAGAGCCUCAACUGAAACCAAGACCCAAAUAUUCCAUUUUAGCAUCCUGUUAUAUGCAUACAGUUGCUGUUCAGUCCAUGGUGCUUUGUAACUUUUACAUUGUUGUGGGAGAUUUACUGCACUGAUGGACCUCGUCAAUGGUAUCCACACUCUUUGCCAUGGCUUGUUAGCCCCUCUCAUCAAGGGUUGAAGUCUAUUUCCCAAUCCUUGGAUUUGGGCUAGUCUUGUGAUUGCUUUGACCAACAGAAUGUGGCAGAAGGAACAUUAUACCUUUUCUGAGCCUGGGAACAAGAGACCCUGAAUGAUUUUGGCCUGUCUCUUGGAGUCCUCCUGCUGUCCUGUGAAUAAACCUGUGGGCGGAAUGACAGACUAUGUGAAUAAGAGCAGAAUCAGCUCAGUUGUCCCAGAUGUGUGAGAAAGCCCCACCAAGAUUGGCAGAGCCACCUAGCCUCACCACAGAAAUAUAUGCAAACCCCACCAAGCUCAGCUCAGAUGAUCAGAACUGCCCAGCUGACCCACUGACUUGUGAGUGAAAAUAAUCGAUGGUUACCGUACGUGCUGAGGCUUUGUGGUUGUUUGUUACGCAGCAUUAUGGUAACCGAUACAUUGUACUGGGUAGCUAAUGAGGGAGUGUUUUUUGAGCAGAGGACCCUCUCAAAUAUCAGGGGACAAAGCUGACUGCUGGCUUGGCCUUGUCAUCCAUGCACAUCCCUUCCGGAGGAAGACUGUUUUUCUUUUCCUUAGGCACCCUCAGCUUCAGCCUGGAUAGAUUCCUCCUGGGCUUGUCAAAACUUUCCAGAAUGCAGUACAGCAAACAGGGAUUCCUCUGGCAGCUUGUUAGGAUAAUUGAAAUGUGGGUGGAAGCUCAUUAAGCUCCCCUUUGUCAACAUUCUUCCUUCCAGGCCUGGAGAAGCUGUGAGUUCUGUCACAUCCCAUUAG